AGCAGCCGCGGUAAUUCCAGCUCCAAUAGCGUAUAUUAAAGUUGUUGCAGUUAAAAAGCUCGUAGUUGAACUUCGGAAUUUGCCCAUUGGUCGGGCAGAACUGUCUGUACUGGUGUGACGAGUUCCUACCUUCUGAGGAAUCUUCAUGCCAUUUCAGUUGGUGUGGGGGGAAAUCAGGACUGUUACUUUGAAAAAUUAGAGUGUUUAAAGCAGGCAUCCGUCUGAAUACAUUAGCAUGGAAUAAUAAAAUAGGACGGUUUGGUUCUAUUUUGUUGGUUUCUAGGAUCACCGUAAUGAUUAAUAGGGAUAGUUGGGGGCAUUAGUAUUCGAAUUGUCAGAGGUGAAAUUCUUGGAUUUAUUGAAGACUAACUACUGCGAAAGCAUUUGCCAAGGAUGUUUUCAUUAAUCAA
Molecule: ribosomal RNA, 410 nt
Filed under: uncultured Diversispora
Lineage: Eukaryota; Fungi; Glomeromycota; Glomeromycetes; Diversisporales; Diversisporaceae
Description: SSU rRNA
Rfam family: Eukaryotic small subunit ribosomal RNA
Source: RNAcentral